UGCCCAGACCAACCUCUGUAGUAAACAGCAUGAGUGUUCAAUCUACAGCAGAGUGGCCACAAAGUGGAACACAGAGUGGAACAAAGCAGGUACUUUUUAAACACCAGAGCAAGACCCUCCAGGAACCUGCCUUGUGGUAGACCCGUAAAAGGAACCUCCAUUUCAUGCCAUGGUGCUUCGAGGACCGUACCAGCCUUGCAGUACCACAACAUGGACUGAGCUGGAGGCAUCUAAAGGCAUCAACACAGAGCACUAACAAGAACGAUGUAACAGCUCAGCUGUUCCAUCUUAACCGCCUCCUAACAAGCAGGUCCUGGGUGCCUCUGACAGGUGACAAAAUGCCCUGCCAACUCUACUGGAAAGACUGUGCUGCUGCUCUUAAAAGAGGUGGGAUGUGGAGAAAACACUCCAAAGUCCAUGGUUUGGGAACACAAAGACUCUCACUUUGCUUUUUGCCUAGCAGUAAGUACCUCUCUUGCUGUGGAGAUCAGGGGUAAGCCCCUGAGCAGGGCUAAGACGGGUUCAGGGUUCCCCAGGUCACAGGGUACAUAGCCUGGAUUUGCCAAAGUCUGGCAAGGGAAAAUGCCGAUGAGGCUCUUACUGGCAAUAGUUUUCUCCCCUUCCUAUCCAGAAAACCCUUUGCAGGGAUAAACUAGCUUCUGAAACCAAUGCCUGACUCUAGAGGUAGGUGACAUCUUUAAGAAAGUGGCUUCAGUAGAUAACAUGACUACCUGUCACUGAAGACUCACUCUGGUCUUCAGCUGGUUUUGUCUGGCUUCAUCAGCACUUUCCCUCUGUUUAGGUUAGUGUCCUCAGGCCCCCAAACCAUCCUACCACUUUUCUACUGAGUUUUCUGACAAACUGUUAGUUCUUUACAAGUAUUUCAGACUGCCUUCUUAAAAACUAAACUUGUGGCUUGCUGACUUAGAAGAUUUUUAAUGUGACAAGCCUGUAGGCAGCAACAUUUGCCAGUUUAACAACUCAUGGCAAAACUCCCCUAAAUACUUCAAGCCACCACUAGCUAGUUUUGAACAAGCCAUGAUGUACAACAUGAGAAA
Peromyscus maniculatus bairdii (prairie deer mouse) is the source of this 1058-nucleotide non-coding RNA. Lineage: Eukaryota; Metazoa; Chordata; Mammalia; Rodentia; Cricetidae. The record is from RefSeq and is a predicted model, not a curated record.